This 690-nucleotide ribosomal RNA is filed under the name uncultured Laccaria. Its description in RNAcentral is "eukaryotic LSU rRNA". The stretch from base 265 to 418 matches the Rfam family "5.8S ribosomal RNA". The record is from RNAcentral. Lineage: Eukaryota; Fungi; Basidiomycota; Agaricomycetes; Agaricales; Tricholomataceae.
ACCUGCGGAGGAUCAUUAUUGAAUAAACCUGAUGUGGCUGUUAGCUGGCUUUUCGAAGCAUGUGCUCGCCCAUCAUCUUUAUCUCUCCACCUGUGCACUUUUUGUAGUCUUGAAUACCUCUCGAGGCGACUCGGAUUUUAGGAUUGCCGUGCUUUAUACCCAAAGCCGGCUUUUCUUUCUUUUUCAAAACAAUUUUUUUCUAUACCCCCCAAAUUAUGUUUAAAAAAGGUCAUCAUUAGAAACUUGUUCCCAAUAAAACUAUACAACUUUCACCAACGGACCUUUGGGCUCUCGCAUCAAUAAAAAACCCACCGAAUUGCAAUAAUUAAGGUGAAUUGCAAAAUUCAUGGAACCACCAAACCUUUAAACGCACCUGGCGCUCCUUGGAAUCCCAAGAAGCAGGCCGGUUUGAUUGUCAUUAAAUUCUCAACCUUUCCGCCUUUAAUAAUUUGGGCCAGGCUGGAAUGUGGGGUUUGCAGGCUUCCUUUUAUUCUGCUCUCCGUAUUCGCUUAAACGGACCUUUUGAGGACCGUCUAUCGGUGUGAGGUGUAUAUACACCGUGGAUGUAGGGCAGUUAUGAUAUUUUCAACUUCUACCUGUCAACUGACUUGGACAUUUUUGACAUUUUGACCUUAAACUUGUAGCACGACCCACUACACUUUAACUUAAAGCUAUCGAGAGAAGGAGAAA